UAUUGCUGCUGAAUCCUUGAUUGAGGAUGUCGUAUCGUUUCCGUGUUCCAGUGCGUCGUAAGUACGUGGCAGGUUUAGGUCGUGUUAUCGAAUAUUAGCUUCUCGCCAUGUAAGAGGAUGGCCCCACUCCUAUCGUUAUCAGUUGAGUUAUGAGAUAGUAAUAGAAGAACCUUGAUGACGUCUCUUAGGCUGGUUAAGGUAUUAGUGGUCAUAUCGUGGUUCACUUGCGGUGAUGGAUUAGGGAGAUGUGCUAGUGUAUUAAGUCAAGUAGGAUAUGUCGUGGACUUGGACUUGUGAGAAUUGGAAAAUGAUGAUAUGGAAGGUCUCGGAAGAUGUGUUAGGUAAUAUCAUGAGAAUCGUGAGCGUAUCUUGAGGACAUGGACUGAGCGCGAAUUUCGAGGACGAAAUUCUAUUAAGGAGGGGAGAAUUGUAAUAUCCCGAAAAUUUGAGAAAUAAAUAAUGAUUAAUAAUUUUGGCAUUUGAUGUCAUUUUGGAGUAUUAGAGAAAUUAAGAGAAAAUAUUUACUUAUGUUAUUUUGAGAAAAUAAGUAAAUAAGAUAAUUAUUAAUUCUUGCAUUUAUGGAAAUUAUUAAUUUAUUUGGGAAUUUGGAGAUAUAAGAAAAAAUAAAUUAAUUUAAUGGAUUUUUGAAAGUUUUCGGGUGUAAGUGCAAUAAAGGAAAUUGGAGUCUGGGGUGUGUGUGCCAAUAAUGAAAGUUCUGGGGGCUGAAAUGUGAUUUGCCGAAGUGGCCGCAAAUCACCUUAAAUAUAAGUGAAGGCAUUAUAUGGUUAAAGGAGUCGGCUAGCGCGGGCGGUCGCGAGUGCUCGUGUGCUGGGUGAGGUCGCGGGUUCGAGCCCCCUCGGGUGUGCGCGCGCGCUGGAGAAUUUUGGCUGAUUUUUCAGCCAAAAUCCUUGCCCAAAACGGCGUUGUUUUGGGCAAGGCGGUGGCAGCCAUGUGCAGCUGCUGGGCGCGCCACGUGGCGCGCUGUGGGCCGCCCAUUUGCCUCGCGUUAAAGCAGCAUUUUUGCUGCGAUUUUAAGGCCGAUUUCGGCCAAAUUUGAGGCAGAACCAGAGGAAGAAAAAUGAAGAAGAAGCAGCGCGCGCGAGGGUCAUUUUUUAGAGAAAAAUUGAAGAUUAAAUUACGUUUAAUCGUGAUUUAAUUAAUCAGCGUGUAUUAAUUUGGUGAUGUUUAAGCAUGAAAACGCUGUAAUCAGCUUAAGCGAGGCAAGUUCUCCUCUACCCUUGCGAUCUAUUUCCAUUUGCGGGAAUGCAAGAAAUGGAGGAAACGGUCGUGUAAAGGCAAGCUCCUAACCCUCUUCUCGUGUUCUUUAAUUCCCGUGAAAGACCCCGUGAUUUCCUGUAUUUUAUCACCUCCCUUACUUUAAUUCGGUACAUUGCCUUAUUAGUUGAACUAUUAUUCAUUUGUUUUAAUUUAAAUUAAAUCCGAGACUUCUAGAGUUUUGUUUGUUGUGAGCUUAUGGGGGUUUGUACCGCCCCCACUCCUUUUGGGAAUGAUGCUGAACCCAGUUGGGACUAGGUUCCUAGACGGGCGGGUUUAUUUAUGAUUUUAUUGGAUUUAUUUACAGUUUUCUUGGAUUUAUUUAUGGUUCGGUUAGAGCUAUCGAGCAGUAGGGCAGGGGUCGGUUGUUGGUAACGUUGGAGUAGACUAUCGUACGGCCCUGAUGUGGACCGUCGGGUGGACACCCCUAGUCACUGGCCGUUGACCGAUGCCACGCACUGCUGACAAGCUCUGCCGGUAGUGCCAGCGUAGGUCCGAGCAAGGGAGUCAGCUUUAGCGGCAGAGUCGGUGUGGUGUACAGGCAGUCUCGUCAAUCCCUAUCCACUCUGAUGUCUAAGUAGAAUUUACUCUAUUAUUUCGUACUGUGCCAGGUCUUUUCUCGAGUCUUGUGUAUGUCGGCACAGGAGUUUGUGUUUAUUUAUUUAUCUUGUGACCGCUGUGUUAGCGGGGUACCCAUAGUGCAUGCAUGUCUUGACCUUUGCUUCCGCUGUUCUUAUUUUUUUGUGUAUGCAUGCUGGGGUGGUCUUUGUCUGGUGUCUCAUUCUUUUCUCCUUCCGUAGGCGCUCCCGUUCGGGUAGUCCGGGCGAUUGGGAUAUCC
Diospyros lotus (date-plum) is the source of this 2113-nucleotide long non-coding RNA. RefSeq lists it as uncharacterized. Lineage: Eukaryota; Viridiplantae; Streptophyta; Magnoliopsida; Ericales; Ebenaceae. The record is from RefSeq and is a predicted model, not a curated record. The transcript has 4 exons.